UUCCUUCCUUCCUUCCUUCCUUCCUUCCUUCCUUCCUUCCUUCCUUCCUUCCUUCCUUCCUUCCUUCCUUCCUUCCUUCCUUCCUUCCUUCCCUCCUUCCCUCCUUCCUUCCUUCCUUCCUUCCUUCCUUCCUUCCUUCCUUCCUUCCUUCCUUCCUUCCUUCCUUCCUUCCUUCCUUCCUUCCUUCCUUCCCUCCUCAUCCUUGUCCCCCCAGUAUCUCCUUCAUUCCACCAUUGGUUUUCUCCUGAACUGAUGAAACUUUCUUGGGGUCAUAACCUUACUUAUUCAGGGACUGUUAAUCCAGCUUGCCCUUUAAUUUAGAGGAUUUUCUAUUAUUCAUUAAAACAUGUAUAGUAGAGGGAUUGAGAUGAGAAAAGCCAAAGAAUGAAAAACAUCUUCAUUGGCUAGAAAAUUUUCUAGUAAAAUUAAUGGCCACAGUCAGAUUUUUUUCAUUAUCCAUGGAUUUCACUUUGUUACCGAGCUAGUCACAAACAACAGUCAGCUCUUCAAAUAGUGGCACUGGUCUCAAAUAAACAAACAGGAAACUCCUCACUUUAUGUUCUUACAUUAUUGGAAUAUUCAUUUGAACAACUUCUUCAGCAGGCACCAAUAAAAUAUCUGACUAGUAAUUUUUACUUCUUUCUUUUGGAGACAUCUUCACCAUCCAUGUAUUCCUCAACUAGCAUCUGGUUCUGGAUUCUAUCUUUAUAGCUCCACUGAAGUUGUUUUCUUAAAGUUCUCCAAUCAACAAAUCCAAUCCUUUUUUUUUGUUUGUUUGUUUGAAUUCUAUUCAGUUUUUCAGAUGCUCUUGGAAUUCUUGAUAAUGCCUUCCUUGAGUUUUCUCCUUCCUAGACUAUAUGAUACUAUAUUAUGCUGCUUCUUCUGCUUUACUUACACAACAUCUCCCCUCUUUCUUUAGUGGUACCAUUUUUUUCCUUCCUAUCUCACUCAAAUGCAGGCAUUUGUUCUUUAAGGCUGUAUCAUAUUUCCUUUUUUCUUCCUCUAUGCUUUCUUCUUUAACAAUAUCAUUUACUCUCAUGUUUUCAACUAACAAUUUUGUAUGAUGAUUUCAAUUCUAGAACUCUAAAUGCAAACUCUCAGUCAGAUCCUGGUCUUGAAUUUUCAAGGAUCUACUGAACACUAAAUCUGGGUGUCCCACUGGAAUCUCUAAUUUAGCAGCUCUAAAAUAAAGUUAUCUCUACUCUUCAAACCAACUCUUCUACAUGACUUUAUCGUAAGCACCAUCCACAAAUGACACUUGUGUUCAUAGAGUGACUAUUUAUCCAGUCACUCAUGCUCAAAAUGUCACUUAUCUUCCCUCCUCUACCCCUCCCCACUAUCCCACUUCACCUCCCAACAUUCUAUUAACUAUCAACUUCUGUCAAUUUUUAUUCUACAAAGUCUCUUCUAUCCAUCUGAUUUUCCUUUUAUAUUUCCAUCUGUACCUCUAAUUCAUUUAUCUCUUUCUUGGCCUACCUACUUUGCUCUUUUCUUUCCUCUCUCCUUUCCUGAGACUGAGUUCUCUACUGCUUCUAGCUAACUUUUCCCAAGGCUAAAAUACUAUUCCUCUGCUCAUACAACAAAUGAACAACAAUGAUGAAAACACCCUCCCCUCACUAAAUUUCUUUUAUUACCCUUCAAAUAAAAUAUAAACUCUUUAGUAUUCAAAGACCUUUGUAUUCUCUUCCCAACUUUAGAUAGCACUUAAUGAAGUAACCAUUCUCUGAACAUAUUUUUAUACUUUUGCUUGUAUCUUUUUUCUAUCUGGGAUGUUAACUUUCUUACCUUCCAUAUUCAUUUUCAUUUUCUUUCCCUCCCAAGAACUUUACCUUCCAUCUUAGAAUCAAUACUGUGUGUUGGUUCCACAGCCGAGGAGUGAUGAGGGUAAGGACUAGGCAAUGGGGGUUAAAUGACUUGCCCAGGGUCCUACAACUGGAAAAUAUCUGAAGCCAGAUUUGAACCAGAUCUCCCAUCUCUAGAUCUGGCUCUCAAUCCACUAAGCUAACUAUCUGCCCCCAUGUUCAUUUUCUAAUAUCUAAGUUUUAUCCUCCAUUUUGAGGUUUAAGUGAAAUUUCUAUGACUUGAUUCCUCUCUACCCAAAGCUUGAAGUGAUCUCAACUUCCUCUCAAUCACACUUUGAACCUUGUUUCUCACCCAUUACCUUCAAAUAACAAAUCUCCUCCUCCACACAAUGUUUAAGUCAUUGAUCUAAGCACCCAGGAUCCAAAGAUGAAAUAAAAAACAGUUUGUAUUCUCAGGGGUCUUCCAUUCUAGUAGAUUUAGCUUCUUCUGCUCACUAUACUCUGUCAGGUAUCAUUUGUUUAACUACAAGAAUUUCUACUAAAAAUGUUGAAGUUACUGGCUUGCUUCUUUUGAGAAAUAAUGGGAAAAAGUUUUUCUGGGCCACCAAGGAAUUUGGAUAGAACCUUGAAUUUUACUAUUAUAGAAAUUUUAACUCAGAGUGCUGGAUACAUUGAAAAGUCAGUUGUAUGCAAUGUAUGAGCAGGAGGCGCUCUAAGUCAUCUCCUCAAGUCCAAACCUGAAAAGAUUUUCUUAUAUAACUUCACUGCGAAAUAAUCAUGCAACUUCUGCUUAAAAAUGUCUAGUGAGAAGAAACUAUAUUUCCCAAGUUGGUUCAUUCCUACUCUUCAGGCAGAACUGAAAUCUACUUUUCAGAAAUUUCCUUCCAAUUUCCUAGUUUUUUGGGCUAACUCUAUUUUGGCUCCUUCAAGCUCAGAUGCAGAAAUAAGAUCACUCUGGAAUUGGGAUAAUUAUUAUUAGUAUUAUUAGUUAUGGGGUUUUAUUAACCAAGUUCAUUUUUUUUACAAUUUAUUUCUUUAUCUUCCACUAAAGUCCUACUUUGAUGCAUCAUGAUGUCACAAAAGGUUUCCUGUAGGUCAGGUCAUUGAAUUGCAAGCUCUGGCAGGUUCUACUAAGCAGAGAAUCUUCAUUAGAAUUAUCUGGCAAGGACUAGUCUAGAAACUCAAGAAUAUCAUCUAAGAGAGAAGGUGAAAUCUGCAGGAAUAGAGUACACACACUCAUUUCAAAGCCCAACGUGUACAUGCUGGAGAAGAGUAAGUUAAAACAGGCCUCUCUGAAAUCCAAAUGGGACCCACAUCUGUGCAAUCUGAUAGAUCCCCCUCUGAGUCCAUUAUUCCAGGUGAGUAUUUCCGGACUUACAAACUUCCAGAUCCCCAGUGAGGCAAGAGAAUUGCCAAAGGACCGUAAACAGGCAGCUUCUUUGAGCACAUCAGGAAACUUCCAUCAAGUCACAGAUCUAUUCCUCUCCCUAAGGGUCAUACACAAGUCAAUAAAAAUUAACUAAACAUUUGGAAACACAACCACAUAAAUGUUAGGACUCUUGCUUUUUCUUUAAAUACACACACACACAUACGAGAACAUGCACAUUGUAAGCCAUUUGCUGAAAACACAUCUUGGCAGGCAGCUGAUCCACAUUUCUUUCUUGUUCCGUUUCUUUAUACAGUUCCUUUUAAAAUCAAACUUUGGCAGACAAAUGGAGGUACCAUAUUAAUGGACACUUGAGAACUCUGGCCAUUUACACAAUACAUUUUUCCCUUCUUAAACUCUGAAGUCUUAAUCCAUGAUACUGAUGGAUGGGCUAAAAUUUUUCAGUUAAAAAUCAUUUUUGAAUCAUAAGAUCUAAUAUAAACAUGUAAAAGUUACACAUUUUAAACAAAAGUAUAUUCCAAGGAUUUUUAAAACAGCUGGGAGGGAAAAAAAUCUCUUUUGGCUUAUGGUUUUAUAUUCAGAUGUUAGCUGAAGAUGAUUUUAAGGUACAAAUAAUUUUGUGUUGACUAUUUUUGGGGGCUGUUUAUCAGAUCAACCAGCACAAUUGCUCUCCUUCCAUCUCCCUUCUGCCCCUUCAGGAUGUUUCUUUAUGUUUUAGAAUCCCUACAUUAAAACCAGGACUUGAAACUCAAAUCAAUUCAUUUUGCCACCUGAAAUAGCUUUAGUCAAAAGUCAGAAGUAGGGAGAAAACUGAGAUGAAAGUUAUAUAUUUGAUAGACUUGGAAUUUUCUGUUGAUUUGAAUUUAGCCAUAUCUCCCAUGUCCAUCUGCCCAAACUCCUACAAUAGCUCAUUGGAGUGUGGAAGUGAUUUUGUAUUCUCAGAUGCCCGCCACUAAGCUCUGAUGAGUUCUACCUGUUGGAAAGGCUUUGAGUAAAACUCAGUCUAGUAACAUAUGUCCCUUGUUUGAGGAGAUAAGAUGAGAGUGGAUCAACAAAAAGGUUGGUGGUGGCAACUGUGGCAAUUGUUCAGACUCUGCAACUCUUAAAAGUCCAUCUCCUUAAGUUGUAAAGGAGUUGUCAUUUAUAGCAACAGAGGGAGCAUCUGCAGCAACAAAAAUCACUGGUUCCUGAAAUUCUGAAAAAUAGAUACUUAAAAACUGGGUUUAAUGCUUAAACAUAAUAGUUCAUAUUUACUCUAUGAUCUAAAAGCUCUCUUGUUAGGACAACCCUAUUAGGUAUUAUUAGUACAUUUUACAUGUAGCUAAUGAGUGACAGAGUCAGAAUUCAAACUCUGAUCUUUGGAUUCCAAAUCUGGAAGACUUAAAAGAUUUUAAAACCACAGCAGCAACUAGAGUACAACCAUGACCUACUUAAGAAUGACUAGAAGAUUAUAAAUUGGUGAACAUGCAAAUCAGACCCCUGCCAUCACUAGAGGUCAAGUUCUGGAUCCCAAUCUCAUCAUAUUAUAGAUCAAACAACUCAGGCACAGAUCAGAUGAACAGUGAUGAAGCAAGUUACCUGCCUCAUCAUGGAGAGGGGUUGGAUUCAAGGUACAGAAUCAGACAUAAUUUUUCAGACAAAGUGGGGAUUUGUUUUUAUUGACUAUGAAUAUUUGUUGAAAGGAUCUUUUUUCAGUUGGAGCGGGUAGGAGGGAGAAAGAUGCUAGGGUUAGAGUGGCCCUCCCAACAAAACAGAAAAGAAUAUCUUUGAAGCAUUUUUAAAAAUGCAUAGAAGAGAACAGAAGGAAUGCCAGAAAGGAAAGCAGAACAGCUUCUGUUGUUCCUUGAUGCAUUGCAGUCUAUUUAAGUAGAGAAGCAAGCUAUAUGUGAUAGAUAUUUACAGUUUAAUGUGCAACCUUCUUUUUCUGUUCUAUGUUUUUUAUGGAAUUUCCAAUGUUCCAAUAGCCAUGAAGGAGGCUGAAGCAGUUGCUUGGAGCCCUUAGAGCUUGGUUAGACAUCUAAGACCCCAGAGUUAUUCACUGUAUCCCAGGCUAUCAAUUAACUUUUGUCUUGACACUGGAAUAACACUGGGGGAGGGGAGAGAGAGAGAGAGAGAGAGAGAGAGAGAGAGAGAGAGAGAGAGACAGAGAGAGAGAGAGACAGAGAGAGACAGAGAGAGAGACAGAGACAGAGAGAGACAGACAGACAGACAGACAGACAGAGACAGAGACAGAGAGAGACAGACAGACAGACAGAGACAGACAGAGAGAGACAGAGACAGAGAUACAGAUACAGAGAGACACAGAGAGAGAGAGACAGAGAGGCAGAGAGAGACAGAGAGAGAGAGACACAGAGAGAGACAGAGAGAGAGAGAGAGAGACACAGAGAGAGACAGAGAGAGAAGGGGGGAGGGAGGUUGAGGGAGAGAUAUGCUAAUAAUGGUGCAAUUCUGCCUUACUUGAAUCCAGUUCACAUGUGAAUCAAGACAUCAUGAGAGUGAUACCAUUGGUGCUCUUUGAAAAUAAAGAGUGAACAACAACAAUAAUAAGGGAAUAAAUUCACAGAUUAAAAAAAAAAGAACCAUAGCGAAGAAAGAUCAUCAUUGGAAAUAUACUUCAGUGUCCUUUUUACCUCUGGUAUGACCCUCCUCAUAAUGUGGAAUUUGGAUUUCAGAAGAUUUAAGUCCAGCCAUUGUCACAGAUACUUAUUAGCUGUGUAAUCCUGGGCAAAUCAUUUAAUUUGGAUAGGCUUUAGUUUCUUAAUCUGCAAAAAAAGGAGAUAAUAAUAACACCUACUUCAUAUUUGUUAGUAGAAUCAAAUGAAAUAAAAAGAAACCAAAUGUUUAUAUAUGAUAAUAUAUAACAUACAUAACAAUAUAUAAUAUACAUGAAUACUUAUAACAUAAUAUAUAUAAUAUAGGGAUAUAUAUCCCUACUUUUAGCUAAGGAUUAAUUUUCUUAGGUCUUUAGUGUCAGUGACAUAGAACAUUUGUGGGACUCAUGGUUAAUCAUUUAAGGACUUCUGUUAUAUUUACAUUAU
This is a non-coding RNA of Monodelphis domestica (gray short-tailed opossum), 6227 nucleotides long. The record is from RefSeq and is a predicted model, not a curated record. Lineage: Eukaryota; Metazoa; Chordata; Mammalia; Didelphimorphia; Didelphidae.